UGGUCCACUACUUUAAUUUUUACUGAAAUUUGAACCUUAAACUUCAUGAUUUUUAACCUAUUACCAUCGGGCUACGCCCUUGAAUGCUUUUCUUAAUUGCAGAAAUAUAUCUUUCGGCCAACUAAUUUACCAAUAUGGGCGAAGCAUACACAACAUAUAUACCACCUGUGUAACAUACAUCCAUACAUUUACUCUUGUUUAUAAGUGAAUAACCAAAGGACUAACUAACAAAGCAUCUACAAAUUGUACUAAAGGGAGAUGUGCAAUGAAAUUGUUCAGCGUCCGGAGUUCUCUAGAAAGCUAACCUUUCCCAUCUCUCUUAAGCAGCCUGGGUUUCGGGAUGGAACCAUCCAAUGCUUCAAAAAUUUUCCUUUGCCUUAGCCCUGGGAAAACACGAAGAGAGACUUAACUCUUUCUUAGUUGGUUCACCAUGUUGCUGUUAUUUCCACACGCUAAAUAUGUAAGGCAUAAAUGUUAAUUAAUUGUUCUACGAGUAACUUGGAUUUUCCGACAGGUAAAAUAACAUUUUUCUUUGUACU
Capsicum annuum is the source of this 539-nucleotide long non-coding RNA. RefSeq lists it as uncharacterized. The record is from RefSeq and is a predicted model, not a curated record. The transcript is spliced from 4 exons. NCBI's taxonomy places the organism in Eukaryota, Viridiplantae, Streptophyta, Magnoliopsida, Solanales, Solanaceae.